Molecule: ribosomal RNA, 689 nt
Filed under: uncultured bacterium
Lineage: Bacteria
Description: bacterial SSU rRNA
Rfam family: Bacterial small subunit ribosomal RNA
Source: RNAcentral
GGACGGGUGAGUAACGCGUGAGGAACCUGCCUUGAAGAGGGGGACAACAGUUGGAAACGACUGCUAAUACCGCAUGACGCAUAGAGGUCGCAUGAUUUUUAUGCCAAAGAUUUAUCGCUUCAAGAUGGCCUCGCGUCUGAUUAGCUGGUUGGCGGGGUAACGGCCCACCAAGGCGACGAUCAGUAGCCGGACUGAGAGGUUGAACGGCCACAUUGGGACUGAGAUACGGCCCAGACUCCUACGGGAGGCAGCAGUGGGGAAUAUUGGGCAAUGGGCGCAAGCCUGACCCAGCAACGCCGCGUGAAGGAAGAAGGCUUUCGGGUUGUAAACUUCUUUUAAGAGGGAAGAGCAGAAGACGGUACCUCUAGAAUAAGCCACGGCUAACUACGUGCCAGCAGCCGCGGUAAUACGUAGGUGGCAAGCGUUGUCCGGAUUUACUGGGUGUAAAGGGCGUGCAGCCGGGUCUGCAAGCCAGAUGUGAAAUCCAUGGGCUCAACCCAUGAACUGCAUUUGAAACUGUAGAUCUUGAGUGUCGGAGGGGCAAUCGGAAUUCCUAGUGUAGCGGUGAAAUGCGUAGAUAUUAGGAGGAACACCAGUGGCGAAGGCGGAUUGCUGGACGAUAACUGACGGUGAGGCGCGAAAGUGUGGGGAGCAAACAGGAUUAGAUACCCUGGUAGUCCACACUGUAA